GAUGAACGCUGGCGGCGUGCCUAAUACAUGCAAGUCGAGCGAACAGACGAGAGUGCUUGCACUCUCUGACGUUAGCGGCGGACGGGUGAGUAACACGUGGGUAACCUACCUAUAAGACUGGGAUAACUUCGGGAAACCGGAGCUAAUACCGGAUAAUAUUUAGCUUCGCAUGAAGCAAUAGUGAAAGACGGUUCUGCAGUCACUUAUAGAUGGACCCGCGGUGUAUUAGCUAGUUGGUGAGGUAACGGCUCACCAAGGCAACGAUACAUAGCCGACCUGAGAGGGUGAUCGGCCACACUGGGACUGAGACACGGCCCAGACUCCUACGGGAGGCAGCAGUAGGGAAUCUUCCGCAAUGGACGAAAGUCUGACGGAGCAAUGCCGCGUGAGUGAAGAAGGUUUUCGGAUCGUAAAACUCUGUUGUAAGGGAAGAACAAGUACGUUAGUAACUGAACGUACCUUGACGGUACCUUACCAGAAAGCCACGGCUAACUACGUG
Molecule: ribosomal RNA, 499 nt
Filed under: uncultured bacterium
Lineage: Bacteria
Description: partial 16S ribosomal RNA
Rfam family: Bacterial small subunit ribosomal RNA
Source: RNAcentral